UAGCGGAACUCCUACGGGAGGCAGCAGUAGGGAAUUUUCGGCAAUGGGGGAAACCCUGACCGAGCAACGCCGCGUGAAGGAAGAAGUAAUUCGUUAUGUAAACUUCUGUCAUAGAGGAAGAACGGUGGAUAUAGGGAAUGAUAUCCAAGUGACGGUACUCUAUAAGAAAGCCACGGCUAACUACGUGCCAGCAGCCGCGGUAAUACGUAGGUGGCGAGCGUUAUCCGGAAUUAUUGGGCGUAAAGAGGGAGCAGGCGGCACUAAGGGUCUGUGGUGAAAGAUCGAAGCUUAACUUCGGUAAGCCAUGGAAACCGUAGAGCUAGAGUGUGUGAGAGGAUCGUGGAAUUCCAUGUGUAGCGGUGAAAUGCGUAGAUAUAUGGAGGAACACCAGUGGCGAAGGCGACGAUCUGGCGCAUAACUGACGCUCAGUCCCGAAAGCGUGGGGAGCAAAUAGGAUUAGAAACCCUAGUAGUCCACUUAUG
Molecule: ribosomal RNA, 482 nt
Filed under: uncultured bacterium
Lineage: Bacteria
Description: bacterial SSU rRNA
Rfam family: Bacterial small subunit ribosomal RNA
Source: RNAcentral